RNAcentral lists this long non-coding RNA (2868 nucleotides) under Salvia miltiorrhiza (redroot sage). Its description in RNAcentral is "long non-coding RNA (SMIL_LNC004588)". Lineage: Eukaryota; Viridiplantae; Streptophyta; Magnoliopsida; Lamiales; Lamiaceae. The record is from RNAcentral.
UAAAUGAUAUCGACCACUCAUUAUGAUAGAAAUUCAGAGUUCAAGCUAAGACCGUAAUAUAGUGUUCGAGUACGAGGACUUAAAGUUAAUUGGUCUAUGAUAGUUUUAAGAUAGAUUCAUAGGAAAGUGUUAUGCAUGUGAUAGGUAACAAGAAAUGGGUUGAUGACCAUUUUGGUCUUUGGAAAAAAGAAUACCCCGUAGAUGAGCCCUAGGAAUGAGGUAGGAGCAAAAUGAACCGCCGAAAAAGGACGAGGGAACUUAUUCUCAAGUAAAUCUCGUGUAUAUAAAUUGGAAUUAGGAAUCCAAUUGAUAUGAGGAGAGACCCGAAUCUAUUCUAGAUCGGAAAGUUAAAGUACUAAGGAAUAAGUCGAUACCCUUAGUAAUAGUUCUUUGGAAGCACUAUGAUCAAGAAAAGGCGAUGUGGGAAUUCGAUUCUAGCAUGAAUGAGAAGUACCCAGAAUUAUUUUCUGUGGUACAAAUUUCGUGACGAAAUUUCUUUUAAAGUGGAUAGUAUGUCAUACCCCGACUUAUAAUCCCUGAUUAAGGGCUUUAUUAUUAAUAAUUAGGGUUCGGCAUCCAUUAAUAAUAAAAAACUGGUUUGAUUUAUCUGAUGUGAUUUGAUCGUUAUAUAUGUGUUUUAAUGUGCUUAGUUAAAGAAAAUUUUUAUAAAUAUGGUGCAUAAGUUUCAAUUAGUGAGUUAAGUGUAUUUAUAUGAGCCACAUGAAUUUUAAAUUAUGCAUGAAGUCAUGAAUUUUAUCUAAUUUGAUAGUACAUGUAACACCCCGUACUUUUCCCUAUGUUGUGAGAUAGUGUCUUAACACUAUUGAGAGUACUGAGAUGUCAGAGAGAUUGACUGUCCUAUUAAGAAAAUAGGAAUAAUGAGUUGGAAAUAGAGUCGAGAAAGAAAGAGUGAAAAAAAAAAAAACCUUGAUAAAAAAAAAAAGUCGGUCGGAGAGACGUCUAGUUUGUCUGUGUUUGUCGACUGCUUUGACGUAAUAUUAUGUGAAAUUACGUGACUGAUUGAUUAUGUGAGUUUUGUUACGUAUGUCAUUGUGAGCAAGUUAUUAUGAUUUUUAUUUGAUGACUUUAGCACUUGGAAUUUUAAUUAAGUUUUCAAAGCAAGUGCAGUUUAUUUUUACCGAGAAAUCAAAGAAUGCCGGUUUAUGAAAAUUUUUCCAAACAAAAUAUUUUCAAAUUAUUUUUCCUAUGAUGAAGAAUAUUAUAAUUAAGUGAGUGCACUAAUAUUAGUGCCAUAUUUAUUUUAAAUAUUGGUCACAAGAGUUUUGUGUUAUAGCAUUGCAUUAAUUAGUAAUUAGUCUUUUAUGAUUUUAUUAAUGUAGCUUAACACAUGAUUUAUUCUAGACUACACAACCUUACACACACAUGAUUAUGUUAAUCUAAUAAGCAUGUGAUUAAUUUCCUUAGCCUUACUUGAAGUGGACGUGUGGUAUGAAGAUGAAGGGAAGGGAUUAGUGUAUAGGUUUAGGGGGGACAACUAUUAAAUGGUGAAUAGUGUUGGUCUCAAUCAUCCUCCUAAGCAAAACAAAUUCACUUCAUUUCCCUCAUUUUCUUCACCAUUCGGCCACUCUCAAUUUCUCUCCCUCUCUUCCGAUUUUGCUCCAAAAGAUCACCAUAGAUGAAUCACCAAAGCUUCCAAGUUCACAUCAAGAUCAAAUCCUCCACCAAAUCAACAUAAACACCUUCAAUUCUUAAGAUUUCAAGAGGACCGUGGGUUUAGGUUUGAAGNAUCAAAUCGACUUUUGCUACAGGAUAGAUUUUAUGAAUAGAGUGUUUUGCCUGUGUACGUAUGUCUGUGUGUAUAUGUCUUAAGUUUGAGAUCAAUAGGAUGGGGAACCUUAAGAUAAGUUUAAUUGUCAUAAUGAACUUAUGUUUUGUUAUGUAUAGUAUGUUCAUGGCCCUUCAAGUUCGGGACGAUGUUUCUCGUGUGACUGGGAGGUGAUGAUGUUGGACCUGGCCAGUCCACAUGAUCCAAAUCUCAGUAGACGUCUUUUGGGUUGAAAACCCAUGUGUUUCAACUUUCGGUUGAAAAGCCAGAUGGGUUCAUACUCGAGGUCAUUUUGUUCGACCUAGUAGUUAAUCAUUUCAUACCCUCUGGUCAUUCUUUGAUUCUCUUGAACAAUUUCUACAACACCUUGCUUUGAUGUUGUGUUGAGUUUGAGCCUUGCAACUCGUGAGUUGUCAUAAUAGAUCUCCUUGUUUGAUAAGACCAAGAAGUGUUAGUCUACCGAUGUAGUAUACUACCCAAACUAUGACUUCAUAUAAUUGUGUCUCAUUGUGAUUGGUUGAGAUUAGUUUUUGUCCUAUAAAUGAUAUCGACCACUCAUUAUGAUAGAAAUUCAGAGUCCAAGCUAAGACCGUAAUAUAGUGUUCGAGUACGAGGACUUAAGUUAAUUGGUCUAUGAUAGUUUUAAGAUAAAUUCAUAGGAAAGUGUUAUUCAUGUGAUAGGUAACAAGAAAUGGGUUGAUGACUAUUUUAGUCUUUGGAAAAAAGAAUACCCCGUAGAUGAGCCCUAGGAAUGAGGUAGGAGCAAAAUGAACCGCCGCAAAAGGACGAGGGAACUUAUUCUCAAGUAAAUCUCGUGUAUAUAAAUUGGAAUUAGGAAUCCAAUUGAUAUGAGGAGAGACCCGAAUCUAUUCUAGAUCGGAAAGUUAAAGUACUAAGGAAUAAGUCGAUACCCUUAGUAAUAGUUCUUUGGAAGCACUAUGAUCAAGAAAAGGCGAUGUGGGAACUCGAUUCUAGCAUGAAUGAGAAGUACCCAGAAUUAUUUUCUGUGGUACAAAUUUCGUGACGAAAUUUCUUUUAAAGUGGAUAGUAUGUCAUACCCCGACUUUUAAUCCCUGAUUAAG